This 486-nucleotide ribosomal RNA is filed under the name uncultured bacterium. Its description in RNAcentral is "bacterial SSU rRNA". It matches the Rfam family "Bacterial small subunit ribosomal RNA", at positions 1044 to 1529 of the family's 1533-position model. The record is from RNAcentral.
CAUGGUUGUCGUCAGCUCGUGUCGUGAGAUGUUGGGUUAAGUCCCGCAACGAGCGCAACCCUUAAGCUUAGUUGCCAGCAUUAAGUUGGGCACUCUAAGUUGACUGCCGGUGACAAACCGGAGGAAGGUGGGGAUGACGUCAAAUCAUCAUGCCCCUUAUGAUUUGGGCUACACACGUGCUACAAUGGACAAUACAAAGGGCAGCUAAACCGCGAGGUCAUGCAAAUCCCAUAAAGUUGUUCUCAGUUCGGAUUGUAGUCUGCAACUCGACUACAUGAAGCUGGAAUCGCUAGUAAUCGUAGAUCAGCAUGCUACGGUGAAUACGUUCCCGGGUCUUGUACACACCGCCCGUCACACCACGAGAGUCUGUAACACCCGAAGCCGGUGGAGUAACCAUUUAUGGAGCUAGCCGUCGAAGGUGGGACAAAUGAUUGGGGUGAAGUCGUAACAAGGUAGCCGUAUCGGAAGGUGCGGCUGGAUCACCUC